Molecule: long non-coding RNA, 376 nt
Filed under: Erythranthe guttata (spotted monkey flower)
Lineage: Eukaryota; Viridiplantae; Streptophyta; Magnoliopsida; Lamiales; Phrymaceae
Description: long non-coding RNA (EGUT_LNC001772)
Source: RNAcentral
CCGUCAACAGAUGCUAUAAUUCCAUCACCACCGAGAGCGUCUUGACAAGUUACAAAUCCCCAAAUCUGAAACCACGAACGUUUCGGAACUCACAGUUUCGAAUCAUCACGUACAGAAUAAAAAAAUCAUGCUACUCAAUUGCGAUUAAAAAAAAACAUAAAAUCAUAAAUCGAUUAAAACACAAUUAAGAAGGAAUCGAUUUCGGACCUAGGGUUUUAGAACUUCAAUUGGCUGAUUCCUCGAGAAAUUUCCAAAACUUCGGGCCUGAAGGAGAGCAUAAAUUCGUGAUUGUUGAAAGAAAUGAAUGGGGGGUUUGCUGAAGUUGAAGAAAUGAAUGGGGAUUUGCUAUCCCAGAGUGGGAAAUCGACCCGACCCG